This 524-nucleotide ribosomal RNA is filed under the name uncultured bacterium. RNAcentral's name for it is "partial 16S ribosomal RNA". It matches the Rfam family "Bacterial small subunit ribosomal RNA", at positions 28 to 523 of the family's 1533-position model. The record is from RNAcentral.
GACGAACGCUGGCGGCGUGCCUAAUACAUGCAAGUCGAACGAAGCUGUUUUAACUGGUGCUUGCACCGACUUAAACAACUGAGUGGCGAACGGGUGAGUAACACGUGGGUAACCUGCCCCAAAGCGGGGGAUAACAUUUGGAAACAGAUGCUAAUACCGCAUAAUCACAGAAACCACAUGGUUUCUGUGUCAAAGAUGGUUUCGGCUAUCACUUUGGGAUGGACCCGCGGCGUAUUAGCUAGUUGGUAAGGUAAUGGCUUACCAAGGCAAUGGUACUGAGCCGAACUGAGAGGUUGAUCGGCCACAUUGGGAAUGACACACGGCCCAAACUCCAACGGGAGGCAGCAGUAGGGAAUCUUCCACAAUGGGCGAAAGUCUGAUGGAGCAACGCCGCGUGAGUGAAGAAGGUUGUCGGAUCGUAAAGCUCUGUUGUCAGAGAAGAACGUGUGCGAGAGUAACUGUUCGUGCAGUGACGGUAUCUGGCCAGAAAGCCACGGCUAACUACGUGCCAGCCGCCGCCGAAA